AGCAGCCGCGGUAAUUCCAGCUCCAAUAGCGUAUAUUAAAGUUGUUGCAGUUAAAAAGCUCGUAGUUGAAUUUCGGGAUCAAUACGUCGGUCGUGCCUCUGGUAUGAACUGGUGUUAUUGAUUCCUCCUUUCUGAUAAACCAUGAUGUCAUUAAUUUGGUGUUGUGGGGAGUCAGGACUGUUACUUUGAAAAAAUUAGAGUGUUUAAAGCAGGCCUACGCUUGAAUACAUUAGCAUGGAAUAAUGAAAUAGGACGUUCGAACCUAUUUUGUUGGUUUCUAGGAUCAACGUAAUGAUUAAUAGGGAUAGUUGGG
Molecule: ribosomal RNA, 313 nt
Filed under: uncultured Glomus
Lineage: Eukaryota; Fungi; Glomeromycota; Glomeromycetes; Glomerales; Glomeraceae
Description: SSU rRNA
Rfam family: Eukaryotic small subunit ribosomal RNA
Source: RNAcentral